AGGCGACGAUCCCUAGCUGGUCUGAGAGGAUGACCAGCCACACUGGAACUGAGACACGGUCCAGACUCCUACGGGAGGCAGCAGUGGGGAAUAUUGCACAAUGGGCGCAAGCCUGAUGCAGCCAUGCCGCGUGUAUGAAGAAGGCCUUCGGGUUGUAAAGUACUUUCAGCGGGGAGGAAGGGAGUAAAGUUAAUACCUUUGCUCAUUGACGUUACCCGCAGAAGAAGCACCGGCUAACUCCGUGCCAGCAGCCGCGGUAAUACGGAGGGUGCAAGCGUUAAUCGGAAUUACUGGGCGUAAAGCGCACGCAGGCGGUUUGUUAAGUCAGAUGUGAAAUCCCCGGGCUCAACCUGGGAACUGCAUCUGAUACUGGCAAGCUUGAGUCUCGUAGAGGGGGGUAGAAUUCCAGGUGUAGCGGUGAAAUGCGUAGAGAUCUGGAGGAAUACCGGUGGCGAAGGCGGCCCC
Molecule: ribosomal RNA, 465 nt
Filed under: Shigella sonnei
Lineage: Bacteria; Pseudomonadati; Pseudomonadota; Gammaproteobacteria; Enterobacterales; Enterobacteriaceae
Description: bacterial SSU rRNA
Rfam family: Bacterial small subunit ribosomal RNA
Source: RNAcentral